This is a long non-coding RNA of Sphaerodactylus townsendi, 612 nucleotides long. RefSeq lists it as uncharacterized. The record is from RefSeq and is a predicted model, not a curated record. NCBI's taxonomy places the organism in Eukaryota, Metazoa, Chordata, Lepidosauria, Squamata, Sphaerodactylidae. The transcript has 2 exons.
CGCACCCCCCCCUCCACACACAAACCGGAAGCUACGCCUCUGCAAGGAGCCAACAAUGGAGAACACGUGCGACAGAGGAGUUUGUGUGCCCUUCCUGCCCGAAAUUAGUGAGUGGGGAGAGGCAAUUGUAAGCAACUAGUUUGGGCAGGAUUGCAGACGGCGGCAGCCUCUGUGAGUCCAGCACCCAAUAGACACUGACACGGCACGAGAUUGAGAUAUAGCUAAGGAUAGCCCAUUCUUUCUUUCACGCACAUUUAAAAUCUCCCCCAACCAGCGCUGGUUGGUGAGAUCGGAAGCUACUUCUCGUUCCAGCGUACACCGCGGCCGCGCGGUGUUUGCAAGACAAAAAAACAAAACUCUGCAUGUGCAAGCCUCAACAAUGAUUUUCUCAGCCCUUGAAGCUAUGGCUAUGACCUGGACUUUGUGCAAGGCAGAGGGAAAUUUGUUCCCCACCCUGCCAAUUCCUUCACAAUCACUGCAAGUUCUCAGUCCUCCCAUCACUUUUAGCACACCAUGAUGCAGCUGGUAAAGUUCUUUGUGGUUUAAAAGAAGGAUAAAAAGACUCAAAGGGAGAGAGAGAAAGAAAAGGAGGAUACAAAAGGAACUUGGGAA